AUUGAACGCUGGCGGCAGGCCUAACACAUGCAAGUAGAGCGGAGCGGCGGACGGGUGAGUAAUGCCUAGGAAUCUGCCUGGUAGUGGGGGAUAACGUCCGGAAACGGGCGCUAAUACCGCAUACUAUCAGAUGAGCCUAGGUAGGAUUAGCUAGUUGGUGUGGUAAAGGCCUACAAAGGAGACGAUCCGUAACUGGUCUGAGAUGAGUAUCAGUAACACUGGAACUGAGACACGGUCCAGACUCCUACGGGAGGCAUCAUGUGGGAAUAUUGGACAAUGGGCGAAAGCCUGAUCCAGCCAUGCCGCGUGUGUGAAGAAGGUCUUCGGAUUGUAAAGCACUUUAAGUUGGGAGGCGUUACCAACAGAAUAAGCACCGGCUAACUUCGUGCCAGCCGCCGCGGUAAUUC
RNAcentral lists this ribosomal RNA (407 nucleotides) under uncultured bacterium. RNAcentral describes it as "partial 16S ribosomal RNA". It matches the Rfam family "Bacterial small subunit ribosomal RNA", at positions 30 to 526 of the family's 1533-position model. The record is from RNAcentral.